This 606-nucleotide long non-coding RNA is filed under the name Brassica napus (rape). RNAcentral describes it as "long non-coding RNA (BNAP_LNC010782)". Lineage: Eukaryota; Viridiplantae; Streptophyta; Magnoliopsida; Brassicales; Brassicaceae. The record is from RNAcentral.
AUAGCCGCGAGGAAGAAAAGUUCAUAAAUUAAUUAGACCUCAGAGGAACAAGAUCUUAUAGAUUCUUUUGAUGAUGACCUAAGUGUAGAAAGAUCAUUUAGUAGGGUAGAAAGAUCAUUUAGUAGGGAUACUAAUGAGAAUUAUUCUCCAAAAGGAACAUCAAUUCAUCCAAAGUAGGAGUAUAAAACAUUCGAUUGAUAACAAUUUUAACAAUAUGGAAAUAAAAUUAUUUCGACGGUUUAAGAAUAAAAUAAAAUAUAAUAAUAUGGAAAUAAAAUGUGGAAACAUGCGAUUGAAUCACUGGCAACUUAUCGCUUUAUCCAAAUGCCGCUUUCAUGGUUAUGGCUCCCGCUACAACCUGAUGAGAGGUAGAGUGUUAGAGCACAUUCGUGUGUCUCUUUAGGGCAUCUUUAAAAAGCCAUUUAAUUCCACCAAAACCCGAUAAGUCCAUGCUGCAUCCACAAAACCGUGGGUGUCUUUAGUAUCAGAAUUUAAUCAUCGUCUUGUUAUAUAUAUUUUCGAAAUAUAAUUUUAAGUUUUAUAUCUAUGUAUAUGUGUUGACAAUUUUAACUCUCACCAGCAAAAUAUAAAACCUAGACAAGUUUC